UCCUACGGGAGGCAGCAGUGGGGAAUAUUGCACAAUGGGCGCAAGCCUGAUGCAGCAACGCCGCGUGAGGGACGAAGGCCUUCGGGUUGUAAACCUCUUUUAGUAGGGAAGAAGCGACUGGGUUUUCCUGGGAGUGACGGUACCUGCAGAAAAAGCACCGGCUAACUACGUGCCAGCAGCCGCGGUAAUACGUAGGGUGCAAGCGUUGUCCGGAAUUAUUGGGCGUAAAGAGCUCGUAGGCGGUUUGUCGCGUCUGGUGGAAAAAACCCGAGGCUCAACCUCGGGCCUGCAGUGGGUACGGGCAGACUAGAGUGCGGUAGGGGAGAUUGGAAUUCCUGGUGUAGCGGUGGAAUGCGCAGAUGUCAGGAGGAACACCAAUGGCGAAGGCAGAUCUCUGGGCCGUAACUGACGCUGAGGAGCGAAAGCAUGGGGAGCGAACAGGAUUAGAUACCCUGGUAGUCCAUGCCGUAAACGUUGGGAACUAGAUGUGGGGGACCAUUCCACGGUCUCCGUGUCGCAGCUAACGCAUUAAGUUCCCCCGCCUGGGGAGUACGGCCGCAAGGCUAAAACUCAAAGGGAAUUGAAGGGGGCCCGCACAAGCGGCGGAGCAUGCGGAUUAAUUCGAUGCAACGCGAAGAACCUUACCAAGGCUUGACAUAUACCGGAAACGGCUGGAAACAGUCGCCCCGCAAGGUCGGUAUACAGGUGGUGCAUGGUUGUCGUCAGCUCGUGUCGUGAGAUGUUGGGUUAAGUCCUGCAACGAGCGCAACCCUCGUCCUAUGUUGCCAGCAAGUAAUGGUGGGAACUCAUGGGAUACAGCCGGGGUCAACUCGGAGGAAGGUGGGGAUGACGUCAAAUCAUCAUGCCCCUUAUGUCUUGGGCUUCACGCAUGCUACAAUGGCCGGUACAAAGGGCUGCGAUACCGCAAGGUGGAGCGAAUCCCAAAAAGCCGGUCUCAGCUCGGAUUGAGGUCUGCAACUCGACCUCACGAAGUCGGAGUCGCUAGUAAUCGCAGAUCAGCAACGCUGCGGUGAAUACGUUCCCGGGCCUUGUACACACCGC
RNAcentral lists this ribosomal RNA (1062 nucleotides) under uncultured Cryobacterium sp. RNAcentral describes it as "bacterial SSU rRNA". It matches the Rfam family "Bacterial small subunit ribosomal RNA", at positions 337 to 1393 of the family's 1533-position model. Lineage: Bacteria; Bacillati; Actinomycetota; Actinomycetes; Micrococcales; Microbacteriaceae. The record is from RNAcentral.